RNAcentral lists this unclassified non-coding RNA (328 nucleotides) under Hevea brasiliensis (rubber tree). Lineage: Eukaryota; Viridiplantae; Streptophyta; Magnoliopsida; Malpighiales; Euphorbiaceae. The record is from RNAcentral.
UGUAUUUCGGCAAAAGGAAUCCUCUGUCCUAGAUAUCCAUUUGGUCCAGGUGAAGUCCCAUCAGACAAUGUAGCAUGGGAACUACUUCCAUAUCGACAUAAAGGCGUCCAUCCAGCACUUUCUGAUGGCUUUGGUUUUAGCUUUUUCUUUCUGCAGAUAAAGAAUAGCAAAGCAGCAAGAAUCAUGACCACAGUCAGCAGAACAAAACUUCCAAGAACAGAACUCACUAUAACCCAAACAUUUCUCUUGUUAGAACCUGUCCGGGAAGCCACAAAAUUGACCAUUUUCAUAAUCUCAACGGCAUUCAGGAUGGCAUUCUUCCUUAUUG